RNAcentral lists this long non-coding RNA (625 nucleotides) under Marmota monax (woodchuck). Lineage: Eukaryota; Metazoa; Chordata; Mammalia; Rodentia; Sciuridae. The record is from RNAcentral.
AUAGCAGCACUUUUGUUUAAAAGGUCACUUCUAGCAUCCACUGUGAUGAUUAGCGUUGCCUCAAAGGAACUUUAGUGUCUGGCUACAGACAUCCUCCAGUUCCUUCUUGGUGUGCCCCUUCUUUCAGGUUUACUUUCAUAUUCCUUUUCAUUUCUGUUUGGAGAUUUUCUGACACAACAUUUAUCCUUUCAUUGCCCUUUAUUUAAAUCAGGUUUACCCUUUGCAAGGACAAGAAUAGUUCUAAAUUGUGGUGAGAACACUUAAGAUCUAUUAAAAUAUAUAGAUAUCUCCACAAUUUAGUAUUCGUAGCUAGGGGCAAAAUAUUGUGCAACAGACCUCUCAAAUUUUUUUAUCCUGUCUAACUGAAACUUGAUACUCCUGGACCAAUAUCUCCCCAUAUCAUCCUCCCCUUAGUCCCUGGCAACCACUAUUCUACUCUGAUAUAAGUUUGACUAGUUUCAAUACUUCAUCUAAGUAGAAUCAUGCAGUAUUUGUUCUUUGAGGACUGGUUUAUUUUACACAGCACGGUGUUCACAAGGUUCAUUCACGUUGUUACACAUGACAGGGUCAUCUUUUUUAAAAGGCUGAAUAAUAUUGUAUUUCUGUAUAUACCAUAUUUUCUUUA